GGACGAACGCUGGCGGCGUGCCUAAUACAUGCAAGUCGAACGAACUCUGGUAUUGAUUGGUGCUUGCAUCAUGAUUUACAUUUGAGUGAGUGGCGAACUGGUGAGUAACACGUGGGAAACCUGCCCAGAAGCGGGGGAUAACACCUGGAAACAGAUGCUAAUACCGCAUAACAACUUGGACCGCAUGGUCCGAGYUUGAAAGAUGGCUUCGGCUAUCACUUUUGGAUGGUCCCGCGGCGUAUUAGCUAGAUGGUGRGGUAACGGCUCACCAUGGCAAUGAUACGUAGCCGACCUGAGAGGGUAAUCGGCCACAUUGGGACUGAGACACGGCCCAAACUCCUACGGGAGGCAGCAGUAGGGAAUCUUCCACAAUGGACGAAAGUCUGAUGGAGCAACGCCGCGUGAGUGAAGAAGGGUUUCGGCUCGUAAAACUCUGUUGUUAAAGAAGAACAUAUCUGAGAGUAACUGUUCAGGUAUUGACGGUAUUUAACCAGAAAGCCACGGCUAACUACGUGCCAGCAGCCGCGGUAAUACGUAGGUGGCAAGCGUUGUCCGGAUUUAUUGGGCGUAAAGCGAGCGCAGGCGGUUUUUUAAGUCUGAUGUGAAAGCCUUCGGCUCAACCGAAGAAGUGCAUCGGAAACUGGGAAACUUGAGUGCAGAAGAGGACAGUGGAACUCCAUGUGUAGCGGUGAAAUGCGUAGAUAUAUGGAAGAACACCAGUGGCGAAGGCGGCUGUCUGGUCUGUAACUGACGCUGAGGCUCGAAAGUAUGGGUAGCAAACA
RNAcentral lists this ribosomal RNA (782 nucleotides) under Lactiplantibacillus plantarum. RNAcentral's name for it is "bacterial SSU rRNA". It matches the Rfam family "Bacterial small subunit ribosomal RNA", at positions 27 to 774 of the family's 1533-position model. The record is from RNAcentral. Lineage: Bacteria; Bacillati; Bacillota; Bacilli; Lactobacillales; Lactobacillaceae.